UGUCCAGGCCAACAUCGGUUUCGAGGGUCGGUCAAAGGCUCCGGGAAUGUAUCUACCCACGGGUAGACUUAUAGACCGGGGUGUCAUGCGACCUCUCGGGACUGAGGAACGCGCUUCGGCUCGGAUGUUGGCGUAAUGGUUGUCAGCG
This 148-nucleotide ribosomal RNA is filed under the name Cladophialophora sp. Its description in RNAcentral is "partial large subunit ribosomal RNA". Lineage: Eukaryota; Fungi; Ascomycota; Eurotiomycetes; Chaetothyriales; Herpotrichiellaceae. The record is from RNAcentral.